ACCUCUCUAUCUAACCAAGGGAUGGAAGGGCAGAGGGAGGUUCCCUUUGGUGUCCCUUCCAGUCCAGAAUUGGGGCCUCACAAUCAACAAUCACUAGCCAAUAUGCUUUUCUCUCAUACCUUUCUUCGUUUAUGGUUCGAUAUUAUGGUGCCCUAAGCGUAGAGGAACCACACCAAUCCAUCUCGAACUUGGUGGUUAAACUCUACUGCGGUGACGAUACUUUGGGGGAGGUCCUGCGGAAAAAUAGCUCGAUGUCAGGAUGAUAAAAAGAUUAACACCUCUUAUUCAAUGAAAAGGUGGUCUUAUUCAAAACCCCAAUUGUGACAUCCCUUCUCUCCCACUUCAACCCCGGAACGGACUGUUUUUAUAGAGAGAAACGUGCUUCCACAUCUUCUUAACCCAAAAUGGCUGAGGAGAAGAAAGGUUCCUUUUUUUUAGGGUACUCCCGGGAACAGGUCCAGUGGAGAUGGGUGGGGCUUGUAGCUCAGAGGAUUAGAGCACGUGGCUACGAACCACGGUGUCAG
Non-coding RNA from Amborella trichopoda, 524 nucleotides. The record is from RefSeq and is a predicted model, not a curated record. Lineage: Eukaryota; Viridiplantae; Streptophyta; Magnoliopsida; Amborellales; Amborellaceae.